CCUACGGGGGCAGCAGUGAGGAAUAUUUGUCAAUGGACGAGAGUCUGAACCAGCCAAGUAGCGUGAAGGAUGACUGCCCUAUGGGUUGUAAACUUCUUUUAUAUGGGAAUAAAACUGGUUAUGCAUACCCUCUCGUAUGUACCAUAUGAAUAAGGAUCGGCUAACUCCGUGCCAGCAGCCGCGGUAAUACGGAGGAUGCGAGCGUUAUCCGGAUUUAUUGGGUUUAAAGGGUGCGUAGGCUGGGUGUUAAGUCAGUUGUGAAAUGUCGGCGCUUAACGGGUAAAAGUGCAGUUGAAACUGGCAGGCUGGAGUGCGGUAGAGGUGGGAGGAAUUCGUGGUGUAGCGGUGAAAUGCUUAGAUAUCACAAAGAACUCCGAUUGCGAAGGCAGCUCACUGGACUGCGACUGACACUGAUGCACGAAAGUGUGGGUAUCAAACAGGAUUAGAUACCCCAGUAGUC
This 460-nucleotide ribosomal RNA is filed under the name uncultured bacterium. RNAcentral's name for it is "partial 16S ribosomal RNA". It matches the Rfam family "Bacterial small subunit ribosomal RNA", at positions 338 to 795 of the family's 1533-position model. The record is from RNAcentral.